GGCAACAAUGGCGGUGUCAGUGGC
This 24-nucleotide non-coding RNA is filed under the name Arabidopsis thaliana (thale cress). The record is from RNAcentral. Lineage: Eukaryota; Viridiplantae; Streptophyta; Magnoliopsida; Brassicales; Brassicaceae.